AGUGAAAGGAAAUAAGUGAGGACUUUGGAAAGGACAUGGUUUUGACCUGUCCUAUUGCUCCUAUUCCUCAGGGUGACGCUGGUCUUCCAGGGAAAGCAGCUGACAUGAAGGUAGACAUCUCAGAACUACAUUAACGGCACAUACAUUUCAUGGAAAACAACAAAUCAUGGAAAAAAAUGUUUUAUUUUCUCCUUCCCAGAACAUUGAAGUAAUGUUUGAAGACUAUGGCAUAAGGCUGCCCUUGCUGAAGGCACUGAUUGACAGGCUGCUGCAGGACGGCAUGGAGGAGCUUCUGCAGGAGCUAACCACCUCUAGGAGAGUCAAUGAGAAGGAGAAACACGGCUCCAACAUUAUCACUGACUACACAAGAACUGUAAAGUAUGAGAUCUCCAAGGAGCCUCUGACAGAGAUGGACACCAUAGAGGAGGCAGUUGACUCUGACCUAGACAGACAGCUACCAGAACCUAACUCUGUAAGUAUCCACUCCAAACAUGCUACAUGACAUAGGAACGCUUUCCCUCACACAUAUUAAGCCUAACCCUAACACAAAAAAAGCUAGUUCUAUGGAGAUUAUCAAUUGAGUAUUGUUUUUAGUCCACGACUAGUCUUUAUCUGUAUCCCAGAAAUCAACCUAUAUUAUAAAGCCCAGUCUAUUUAUGUAUCCGAACAGAUACACUGUUGUACUACAGUAUGUAGUUAUUCAUCCAGGUCUCUAUCUCAUGAAGGAUGCUUUGAAUGAAACGGCGGAGGGCCCCACAUUCUGGAGUCUCACCCCUCUUAAUGGUCUUAAUGGGGUCCAAGACGUGGGGAGGAUAGAGAGCACCUCUAAGGGGAUAGAGGGGACACUGACAGUGGACGAGGACUUCAGUGAAGCUCCCUCCCCCAAGUUGGCUUUAUCAAACUCAACAUUUAACAACACAACGUCUGAAGAGAGGGUCUCUGAGGUACCAGGGGCAAUAGUAGAAACUGUUCUCCUCAGUGGGGAAGACUCCUUGAAGAAAAAGAAGAGUCGGGAACGGAAGGUGAUGUCACUACAAAUAGAUAUAUUUUAUACAUCUGAUAAACACAACCUUGUUGGGUUCAAAUCAAUUUCAACAUUUGAGAAAAGUUUGUAA
Molecule: long non-coding RNA, 1115 nt
Filed under: Oncorhynchus mykiss (rainbow trout)
Lineage: Eukaryota; Metazoa; Chordata; Actinopteri; Salmoniformes; Salmonidae
Description: lncRNA (ENSOMYG00000062840.1)
Source: RNAcentral